Molecule: transfer RNA, 63 nt
Filed under: Aphodius elegans
Lineage: Eukaryota; Metazoa; Arthropoda; Insecta; Coleoptera; Scarabaeidae
Also listed under: 1 other name
Description: tRNA-Trp
Source: RNAcentral
AAGGAUUUAAGUUAAAAAAACUAGUAGCCUUCAAAUCUACCAAUAAAUUUUAUUUAAGCCUUA